This 318-nucleotide long non-coding RNA is filed under the name Sparus aurata (gilthead seabream). RNAcentral describes it as "lncRNA (ENSSAUG00010011276.1)". Lineage: Eukaryota; Metazoa; Chordata; Actinopteri; Spariformes; Sparidae. The record is from RNAcentral.
CAGAUCGUUUACCUCCUGCUGCAGUUCUGCUGUUUGCUCCGUGUCCCUCCUCAGCAUCAGACGGCUGCAAGAAGUCAUCAACAGGAAUACUUCUCCUGCUGUCACCCAGCUGACUCUGCAGAGGAGAACAGAGAACAAACAUUUAAUCUCAGGGAACCUUCCUGAAAAUGUAAUCAACAGAACCAAGAAGGAACAGUAAGGAACAUCCACCUUCCUUCACUGAUCCACCUCCUGAAUCUACAACAGAGACACCAACACCAGACGUCACCAUGGCAACAGGGUGAGUAACACAACCAACCAAUUCAAACAGAAUUUCAA